GGUACUGCGGCGGAUCCAAGGUCAGAGUUUGCAGGAGUAUACGCGAAGCUGAAAUCUGAGCUCUUAAAUGACUCUGCCUUUCAAUUCACGCCCGAUUCUCGCCAUUGGGUCCAACGGAUGCUGGAAUACAAUGUGCCUGGAGGGAAGUUAAACCGAGGACUCAGUGUCAUUGAUAGCUACAAACUGCUAAAAGACUCUCACACUCGCCGUGGUCAGCCCUGUUGGUUUAGGGCUUCCUAAGGUUGGUAUUAUUGCCAUCAAUGAUGGAGUCCUACUUCGCAACCAUAUUCCCAGAAUCCUCAAGAACCACUUCAAAGAUAAGCCUUACUAUGUUGAUCUGUUGGAUUUGUUUAAUGAGGUUGAGUUCCAAACUGCUUGCGGACA
Molecule: long non-coding RNA, 384 nt
Organism: Ipomoea triloba (trilobed morning glory)
Lineage: Eukaryota; Viridiplantae; Streptophyta; Magnoliopsida; Solanales; Convolvulaceae
Exons: 5
Source: RefSeq, a predicted model, not a curated record